This 422-nucleotide ribosomal RNA is filed under the name uncultured Lactobacillus sp. RNAcentral describes it as "bacterial SSU rRNA". It matches the Rfam family "Bacterial small subunit ribosomal RNA", at positions 128 to 524 of the family's 1533-position model. Lineage: Bacteria; Bacillati; Bacillota; Bacilli; Lactobacillales; Lactobacillaceae. The record is from RNAcentral.
GCCCUUAAGUCUGGGGAUACCAUUUGGAAAACAGAUGCUAAUACCGGAUAAAAGCUACUUUCGCAUGAAAGAAGUUUAAAAGGCGGCGUAAAGCUGUCGCUAAAGGGAUGGGACCUGCGAUGCAUUAGCUAGUUGGUAAGGUAACGGCUUACCAAGGCGAUGAUGCAUAGCCCGAGUUGAGAGACUGAUCGGGCCACAUUGGGGACUGAGACACGGCCCAAAAACUCCUACGGGGAGGCAGCAGUAGGGAAUCUUCCACAAUGGACGAAAGUCUGAUGGAGCAACGCCGCGUGAGUGAAGAAGGUUUUCGGAUCGUAAAAGCUCUGUUGUUGGUGAAGAAGGAUAGAGGUAGUAACUGGCCUUUAUUUGACGGUAAUCAACCAGAAAGUCACGGCUAACUACGUGCCAGCAGCCGCGGUAAU